RNAcentral lists this long non-coding RNA (1291 nucleotides) under Mus musculus (house mouse). RNAcentral describes it as "predicted gene, 33111". The record is from RNAcentral. Lineage: Eukaryota; Metazoa; Chordata; Mammalia; Rodentia; Muridae.
AGGUCUGAGGAACGGAGCUCCCGGAAGUAAAGGCAUUGCCUCACAUUUGAGUCAUGACUUCAGGAUUUGUGGUCAGAAGCACGAGGUGGAGAAGUCCUGAUACAAUCUUUGUACUGUACGGUUGCCGUCUGGACUUCAUUGACUAUCCCGGAGCGAUCCAGCACAAGUGACAAGUGAAGACCUUGGCUGUGUUUCAGAAGCACAAUUACAACUCUUGGGGUAAAGAGCCUCAGCGACAAGGCCCAGGAAAGCAGGUGUAUUGAGAAUUAGAGAGACUCGGAGCGGGCCCCAGAGGAGAGGUUGGAAGGGCCUUGAGAGCAGAGGUCUGUUGUUUAACAUCAUCUUCGAGUGUACCCUAGCACGGCGGUCUCGGCUGGAGAGAUUUUCUGUGUGCUGAACUUAGAUGGAUAUGUCAAAGUGUACUCAAGCUUUCUUGAACUUUUUCCCCAUCUGAAAUCACUAAAAAUGUGCAGUAUUUCAAAAAGCCCAAGUUUGCCUCCAAAUAUGCUUGUGAAAUGUAUUUCAACACACAUAUCCAACAGUAAGAACAUGCUGGCCAUAUCAAUCCUCACAGCAACUCUUUAUUGCAGCAUAUUGAGGUUUAAUCAGGAAACAGGUUAGAGCUUCUAUGUACAGGUUUUCUUCUAGUUUGAGGUUUUCCUGAAAUAUGUGACACAGACUCGUUAUACAAAUGGCCACUAGUAAAUUAUUUCCAGCAUGUGUUACUCUGUCAACAGUGAUGCUUUCACAGAACCUUUGUCCUCCACAAUUCCCCCCCUCCAUUUAAACCAGGACAUUUCCAUCUCAGUGAGCCACUGCUGUAUUUGGGACCUAAGCGAGAAGCUGGAUAAACAGAGGCGCUAUUAUUAUUGUUACUGUCAAUAUAGUUUCCUUCCCUAGUUAUAACUGAUUAUUUCCUUUUUUCCAUUUCAAAACAUUUUUGUUCAAAUGCUUCUGAUGGCUCUCGUCACAAGCAAUAUUCCUUCGGAAAUAAUGCACCUUUUUAAUUUCUCAACCUAAAAUACACAGCCCGUCAUCUCCAUAGUAGGAUGAUGCUGUUAGAGAGAUCAGCUGUGUCUAGUUGGAGAAUUUUUAGGGGAAUAAGGGAUUACAGGAGCGAGUGCUUCCUCUAUUAGUUCGUGCAAAGUGAAGACAAGAAAGAAAGUCUGUAGGAUGUAAGAGGUGAUGUUACUCCAGCAAGAGUUGGGCAUUUGGAAACACAUGGAGUUAAAAGCAGUUUUCACUUAAUGUGCUUUGUUGUUUCUGCUACAAUAAAAAUAAAUAAUAAAAA